GGCCCAUGUGGCACAGUGGUAGUGUGACUACCUGCGAUGUAAAAUGGUUCGGGUUCGAUUCUCGGUGGGCCA
Molecule: non-coding RNA, 72 nt
Organism: Phthorimaea operculella (potato tuberworm)
Lineage: Eukaryota; Metazoa; Arthropoda; Insecta; Lepidoptera; Gelechiidae
Source: the annotation of a GenBank genome assembly